UGGCGAACGGGUGAGUAACACGUGGGUAAUCUGCCCUGCACUCUGGGAUAAGCCUGGGAAACUGGGUCUAAUACUGGAUAUGACCUUUCUCCUUAUGGGGUUUGGUGGAAAGUUUUUCGGUGUAGGAUGAGCCCGCGGCCUAUCAGCUUGUUGGUGGGGUGAUGGCCUACCAAGGCGACGACGGGUAGCCGGCCUGAGAGGAUGAUCGGCCACAUUGGGACUGAGAUACGGCCCAG
Molecule: ribosomal RNA, 236 nt
Filed under: uncultured Actinomycetales bacterium
Lineage: Bacteria; Bacillati; Actinomycetota; Actinomycetes; Actinomycetales
Description: partial 16S ribosomal RNA
Rfam family: Bacterial small subunit ribosomal RNA
Source: RNAcentral